RNAcentral lists this small RNA (630 nucleotides) under Malus domestica (apple). RNAcentral's name for it is "sRNA MD15G0294200". The record is from RNAcentral. Lineage: Eukaryota; Viridiplantae; Streptophyta; Magnoliopsida; Rosales; Rosaceae.
CCACUCCACCUUCUUCCACCCUCUUUGCCUAGUUCUCCACCACCCUCCAACCAUCAAACACUCCUCCACACUCACCCUAAACCCUUCCAUACCAUUCCCCAUCCAUUCUACAUCAUAAAACUACCCAAAAUCUGUCCAUAACCCAAUCUGCCGCAAGCAUAAGGAAAGGAGGAAUCUUGGAUGCACUUGCUACCAAGUUGGAGCAUUUUAGGAACUAAACCCCUCUUAGUUAGGGGGUGAUUCGAAACUAUGUUCAUACUUGCAAUAUGAUUUGAUUACAUCCAGUUGUGAUUCAUAAGUUGUGAAUUCAAUUUACUUAUCCGUUCAUAUAAAAUCUAAUUUGUGUAUGUUGGUUAAGAGUGCACGCUUAAUUUUCAUGCAUGAAUUUGACGCUAGAAUAUAAGGGAGUUUCACCUAAUCGUUAUAAACUUAUAUUCACAAGUAGUGAAGGUUGCUAGUCACAAUCACGUUAAGUAAACUCUUGGCAUAAGUUUCAUGCAAAUCAUAGUAACGAGUGCCUCGUCAAUGCUUAUGUUUUUCAUAGAACUUAAUGAUUCUUGCUUGUAUCUCUAUUAUGCAAUUCAUGUAGGGAACUUGUAGGGAAUGUUUUGGGUUGUCGUAUGCAAUCAU